UGCCUAACCCUCGUGAAUUAAAAAUUCCGAGGUAUGGCAGAAAAAUACGGUUCAGGUUAUUAAGCUCCUAGUCAGAGCACCUGAACCGUCAUAUCCGAAAGGGUAUGGGUGGCGCAAGCCAUC
This 123-nucleotide small RNA is filed under the name unclassified sequences. RNAcentral describes it as "LOOT RNA". It matches the Rfam family "LOOT RNA". Rfam says of the family: Latescibacteria, OD1/Parcubacteria, OP11, TM7. Lineage (Microgenomates, aka OP11) The record is from Rfam by way of RNAcentral.